RNAcentral lists this ribosomal RNA (689 nucleotides) under uncultured Serratia sp. Its description in RNAcentral is "bacterial SSU rRNA". It matches the Rfam family "Bacterial small subunit ribosomal RNA", at positions 791 to 1480 of the family's 1533-position model. Lineage: Bacteria; Pseudomonadati; Pseudomonadota; Gammaproteobacteria; Enterobacterales; Yersiniaceae. The record is from RNAcentral.
UAGUCCACGCCGUAAACGAUGUCGACUUGGAGGUUGUUCCCUUGAGGAGUGGCUUCCGGAGCUAACGCAUUAAGUCGACCGCCUGGGGAGUACGGCCGCAAGGUUAAAACUCAAAUGAAUUGACGGGGGCCCGCACAAGCGGUGGAGCAUGUGGUUUAAUUCGAUGCAACGCGAAGAACCUUACCUACUCUUGACAUCCAGAGAACUUAGCAGAGAUGCUUUGGUGCCUUCGGGAACUCUGAGACAGGUGCUGCAUGGUUGUCGUCAGCUCGUGUUGUGAAAUGUUGGGUUAAGUCCCGCAACGAGCGCAACCCUUAUCCUUUGUUGCCAGCGGUUAGGCCGGGAACUCAAAGGAGACUGCCAGUGAUAAACUGGAGGAAGGUGGGGAUGACGUCAAGUCAUCAUGGCCCUUACGAGUAGGGCUACACACGUGCUACAAUGGCGCAUACAAAGAGAAGCGACCUCGCGAGAGCAAGCGGACCUCAUAAAGUGCGUCGUAGUCCGGAUUGGAGUCUGCAACUCGACUCCAUGAAGUCGGAAUCGCUAGUAAUCGUAGAUCAGAAUGCUACGGUGAAUACGUUCCCGGGCCUUGUACACACCGCCCGUCACACCAUGGGAGUGGGUUGCAAAAGAAGUAGGUAGCUUAACCUUCGGGAGGGCGCUUACCACUUUGUGAUUCAUGACUGGGG